AACGAACGCUGGCGGCAUGCUUAACACAUGCAAGUCGAGCGAGAACCAGAAAGCUUGCUUUCUGGGGACAGCGGCGCACGGGUGAGUAACGCGUGGAUAACGUGCCCAUGGGUUGGGGAUAACCCGCCGAAAGGCGGACUAAUACCGAAUGUGUUCCUAAGAGGUUCGCCUCUAAGGAAAAAAGCGGGGCAACCCGCGCCCUAGGAUCGGUCCGCGUUCCAUCAGCUUGUUGGUGGGGUAAUGGCCUACCAAGGCUACGACGGAUAGCUGGUCUGAGAGGAUGAUCAGCCACACUGGGACUGAGACACGGCCCAG
RNAcentral lists this ribosomal RNA (315 nucleotides) under uncultured bacterium. RNAcentral describes it as "bacterial SSU rRNA". It matches the Rfam family "Bacterial small subunit ribosomal RNA", at positions 29 to 334 of the family's 1533-position model. The record is from RNAcentral.